RNAcentral lists this ribosomal RNA (433 nucleotides) under uncultured bacterium. Its description in RNAcentral is "partial 16S ribosomal RNA". It matches the Rfam family "Bacterial small subunit ribosomal RNA", at positions 29 to 507 of the family's 1533-position model. The record is from RNAcentral.
AGCGAACGCUGGCGGCAGGCUUAACACAUGCAAGUCGAGCGGGCACUUCGGUGUCAGCGGCAGACGGGUGAGUAACACGUGGGAACGUACCCUUCGGUUCGGAAUAACGCUGGGAAACUAGCGCUAAUACCGGAUACGCCCUUUUGGGGAAAGGUUUACUGCCGAAGGAUCGGCCCGCGUCUGAUUCGCUAGUUGGUGGGGUAAUGGCCUACCAAGGCGACGAUCAGUAGCUGGUCUGAGAGGAUGAUCAGCCACGCUGGGACUGAGACACGGCCCAGACCCGGACGGGAGGCAGCAGUGGGGAAUAUUGGACAAUGGGGGCAAGCCUGAUCCAGCCAUGCCGCGUGAGUGAGGAAGGCCUUAGGGUUGUAAAGCUCUUUUGGCCGGGACGAUAAUGACGGUACCGGAAGAAUAAGCCCCGGCUAACUUCGUG